This 348-nucleotide ribosomal RNA is filed under the name uncultured Trichoderma. Its description in RNAcentral is "SSU rRNA". It matches the Rfam family "Eukaryotic small subunit ribosomal RNA", at positions 1326 to 1698 of the family's 1831-position model. Lineage: Eukaryota; Fungi; Ascomycota; Sordariomycetes; Hypocreales; Hypocreaceae. The record is from RNAcentral.
CGAUAACGAACGAGACCUUAACCUGCUAAAUAGCCCGUAUUGCUUUGGCAGUACGCCGGCUUCUUAGAGGGACUAUCGGCUCAAGCCGAUGGAAGUUUGAGGCAAUAACAGGUCUGUGAUGCCCUUAGAUGUUCUGGGCCGCACGCGCGCUACACUGACAGAGCCAGCGAGUACUCCCUUGGCCGGAAGGCCUGGGUAAUCUUGUUAAGCUCUGUCGUGCUGGGGAUAGAGCAUUGCAUUUAUUGCUCUUCAACGAGGAAUCCCUAGUAAGCGCAAGUCAUCAGGUUGCGUUGAUUACGUCCCUGCCCUUUGUACACACCGCCCGUCGCUACUACCGAUUGAAUGGCU